AUUGAACGCUGGCGGCAGGCCUAACACAUGCAAGUCGAGCGGAUGAAGGGAGCUUGCUCCUGGAUUCAGCGGCGGACGGGUGAGUAAUGCCUAGGAAUCUGCCUGGUAGUGGGGGAUAACGUCCGGAAACGGGCGCUAAUACCGCAUACGUCCUGAGGGAGAAAGUGGGGGAUCUUCGGACCUCACGCUAUCAGAUGAGCCUAGGUCGGAUUAGCUAGUUGGUGGGGUAAAGGCCUACCAAGGCGACGAUCCGUAACUGGUCUGAGAGGAUGAUCAGUCACACGGGAACUGAGACACGGUCCAGAAUUCUACGAGAGGCAGCAGUGGGGAAUAUUGGACAAGGGGCGAAAGCCUGAUCCAGCCAUGCCGCGUGUGUGAAGAAGGUCUUCGGAUUGUAAAGCACUUUAAGUUGGGAGGAAGGGCAGUAAGUUAAUACCUUGCUGUUUUGACGUUACCAACAGAAUACGCACCGGCUAACUUCG
RNAcentral lists this ribosomal RNA (482 nucleotides) under uncultured bacterium. Its description in RNAcentral is "partial 16S ribosomal RNA". It matches the Rfam family "Bacterial small subunit ribosomal RNA", at positions 30 to 505 of the family's 1533-position model. The record is from RNAcentral.